AAGGGAGACCUAAUUCCGGUAGGAGACGAAAAAAAAGUAGUCCCAACCAAGAAUCAAUCCCAAAAGGUCGGAACGAGGUAUGAGGCUUUCAAACUAGGUUCUGGGUUCAUAAAAGACCUGAAUCAGGAACAAGGGCUAUUAGCUCAGGUGGUUAGAGCGCACCCCUGAUAAGGGUGAGGUCCCUGGUUCGAGUCCAGGAUGGCCCACCUGCACAGGUGGCAAAAACAAGAGAAGCUCCGAAUCAGCACCUUAUCUUAUAUACAUAUAUAAGAGAGAAUGCUGGCUCUGAGUAAAGAGUCCAGAGGAACCUUGAAAACUGCAUAGAGCUAGGUGAAAAAGCCAAAAAAGAAGACCGCAG
Molecule: transfer RNA, 358 nt
Filed under: uncultured Microcystis sp.
Lineage: Bacteria; Bacillati; Cyanobacteriota; Cyanophyceae; Chroococcales; Microcystaceae
Description: partial 16S-23S ribosomal RNA intergenic spacer
Rfam family: tRNA (bases 133-206)
Source: RNAcentral